AUGGAUCGCGGGGGGAGCGCGGGACCCGGCGCCGUCGGUAGCGCCGGCAGCCUCGGCCUCCGGAUCGGGCAGGCCGCCUGCUCGUCGGCGGCGCUCAUGUUCAUGUCCGUCGGCGUCGAGUUCUUCAGCUACACUGCCUUCUGCUUCCUGGUUACGAUCAUGGGCCUGCUGGUCCCGUGGAGCUGCACGCUCGCCAUGAUCGACAUGUACUCCAUACUCGUCGGGUGCCCGCUCCACGUGCCCGGUGUCAUGGCCAUCGUCGUCGUCGGAGACUGGGUGCUGUCGAUACUGUCGCUGGCGGCCGCGAGCUCGAGCGCCGCCGUCAUCGACGUCCUCCUGGAGUUCCACGGAUCCCACUGCGCCCCGAGGCUGUGCGAGAGGUACCAGCUCUCUGCCAUGAUGGCGUUCCUGUCCUGGCUCCUCACGGCCGCGUCCUCCCUCUUCAACCUGUGGUACAUCGCCUCCAGGUGA
RNAcentral lists this ribosomal RNA (471 nucleotides) under Triticum aestivum (bread wheat). RNAcentral describes it as "partial small subunit ribosomal RNA". The record is from RNAcentral. Lineage: Eukaryota; Viridiplantae; Streptophyta; Magnoliopsida; Poales; Poaceae.